GCGAGACUGGGGCCGUGGCUGCUGGUCCCGGGUGAUGCUAGGCGGCUCCCUGGGCUCCAGGCUGUUGCGGGGUGUAGGUGGGAGUCGCGGACGGUUCGGGGCGCGAGGUGUCCGUGAAGGUGGCGCAGCCAUGGCGGCAGGGGAGAGCAUGGCUCAGCGGAUGGUCUGGGUGGACCUGGAGAUGACAGGAUUGGACAUUGAGAAGGACCAGAUUAUUGAGAUGGCCUGUCUGAUAACUGACUCUGAUCUCAACAUUUUGGCUGAAGUACGUGAUGCCAUGUAAUACAGUCAUACUUUUUAAAGGGCACUGGAAAUAUAACCAUCAUUUUUUCCAGCUUCUUUAUUUAAAAAAUAAGAAAGUUGAGGUCUAUAUGGGUUAAGGUAAUGUGCUAGGUAAUGGUAGGGGUGCUACUAGAACCAAAGUAAUCCAUCUCACAGCCUAGUGAAAAUUAAAAAUUAAACAUUAUUUUUUAAUUAACCAUGCCAGAAAUUUACAGAAACAUAAAUUCUGUCGUUUACUGAGAGCUUACUGUAUGCCAGGUACAGUUUCUG
Molecule: small RNA, 552 nt
Filed under: Pongo abelii (Sumatran orangutan)
Lineage: Eukaryota; Metazoa; Chordata; Mammalia; Primates; Hominidae
Description: retained intron
Source: RNAcentral